This 125-nucleotide small RNA is filed under the name Aliirhizobium cellulosilyticum. RNAcentral describes it as "Rhizobium cellulosilyticum Alphaproteobacterial ar14". It matches the Rfam family "Alphaproteobacterial ar14". From Rfam's summary of the family: Smr14C2 was renamed NfeR1 (Nodule Formation Efficiency RNA) highly expressed in salt stress and during the symbiotic interaction on legume roots. Lineage: Bacteria; Pseudomonadati; Pseudomonadota; Alphaproteobacteria; Hyphomicrobiales; Rhizobiaceae. The record is from Rfam by way of RNAcentral.
GUGUUUCAGGCGACCCACUCCUCCUCCCGAGGUUGCCUGAGUGAACAGCGGCACUCCUCCUCCCAGUCGCUGUUCGGUUCUUUUCGAAAAGCCUGCCGCUCCUCCUCCCGCGGCAGGCUUUUUCG